UUCUAAAUUCAUAGCUUUGAUUUCGUAGCUAUAGAUGCACUUUGUUGUAGUGUUUAUAAUUUGUUCUCUUCAUAUAAGACCAAAAAAUUAGUCAUGGAGAAUAGAUGUAUAAUGGGCACAACUUCAUGCAUUUACAGUGGCUAUCUAUGUAUUGCAUACCUUCCCAUUUUAUAGUCUGUGGCAGGCUUCUGAAAUGUGGAAAAUUGCAAAUCCUAACCAGUAUAGGUUGUUUGAGGCAUCGCAAAUGAUUGGUGGGGAGUCCGUUUUGGUGUGCUCUGCUCAAACUUGAUGAAGUAUUUGCUGCUGGGAAUCUGUGAUAUAUUUAUUUUUUAAGCAAUUUGUGUGAGAGUUCAAAGUUGAUCUUUUUUUUUUUUUGGAGAAUAUUUUUGUGAAAAAAGAUAAGGAAGUUUCAGAUAAGAAAAAGUUUGUAAUAACUGAAAGUUACAAAACUAUUACUGUUAGCCUUCUUCAGUUUGGUUUACUUCCCUCUAAUGCAUCUCUAUUCGUCUUCUUCUUGGUGCUUUGCCUCUGCAUGGUUAUUUAUUGCAUGUUGCUUGGAAAAUCCAUGCAAGUUUUGAUCAUUGUCUUGGUGUAUUAUGUUGUAACCCUUUCUCGGUGUCGUCUUCUGAAUCUUAGAAAGUAGUCUUGUAGAGCAGUAAAUAUGGUAAGAGCUAUAACGUACAAUACUUGCUGUGUCAUGUUAUGAGUCGGAGGUCUACCAAAAACAACCUCUCUACCUAUUCGGAGGUAGUGGUAUGGACUGCGUACAUUUUACCCUCCCCAAAAUCCACUAUGUGGGAAUACACUGGGUAUGUUGUUGUUGUUGUGUGAUGUUAUUUGCUGGAAAGUGGUGAGCAGUAACAGAAAUGAUGUCUUUCUGUCAUAGAGGUUCUUUAAUUUGUUCUCAACAGCCAUAUGGCUUUAGACAUUAAUUAGCAAUAUCUGGUGAUAGUUGAGAUUAGUAAUAGUAGCAUGUUUUCAGUAAAAAAUUGUGAGUUUAAUCUGAAAAACAUGUGCAGAAUAUGUCAGUUUUCCUGGUGUAAUCCC
RNAcentral lists this long non-coding RNA (1047 nucleotides) under Capsicum annuum. Its description in RNAcentral is "long non-coding RNA (CANN_LNC022012)". Lineage: Eukaryota; Viridiplantae; Streptophyta; Magnoliopsida; Solanales; Solanaceae. The record is from RNAcentral.